Molecule: long non-coding RNA, 1761 nt
Organism: Pseudoliparis swirei
Lineage: Eukaryota; Metazoa; Chordata; Actinopteri; Perciformes; Liparidae
Exons: 3
Source: RefSeq, a predicted model, not a curated record
CACCGCCGCCGCCGUCGGCAGAUGCAGAGCCAUAGCGACCGCCUGGCGCUCCGCCUGCCUUCGCCUCUCUCGACCGCUCCACGGGAUUCUACAGCUUUCUCCGCUCUUCCGGAAUAUCAGCCGCCAGACCAGACCCAUUCAGGGACGUGCCCGUUCUUACCUCGGCUCGGGAGGCUGGGCGUCACCGAGACCCCGUCGGCUGAGUCUACAGACGUAAUCACGCUCAGUGUUGCCAUGGAGACCACGGUGACGGGGAAGAUACUUUUUUUGAAAGGGCACUAAUUGCACUGUUCUCCAGAGAAGUACGGAGCAAGCGGAAGAGACACCACAGAACAAGGGGGCUGCACAUGUCGCAUGCCUCUAAAGCCAUGGUCUUCCAGUGAGGAUCCAAAAAAGCAUGCCGGAUGAUGUCGUCGUACACCUUUAGACGCCUUAGGAUAAGUGUCCCCUUGCCAGGCUAGUCAUGGGCACCACAGUCAUCACCAUUGAGGACGUGCAGGCGCUGGAAGUCAAGGAGGAGCAGGAGGAGUCCAUCCUGGCCAUGUUGGGCAUCCUCGGCACAUUCCUGAACCUCUUUGUAAUCAUCUUUGUUUACAUCUACACCAUUCUGUGAAGUGCCAAAGCAAAGGGAUUUCUAACAACAAAGAAACAACCUGCCAACAGAAGAUCCUCCCACGACUAAAGGAGGGCUGUCGAGGGGCGCUCCGCUGCACACGCCGGUGGCUGUUCCACCUCUCCCGUCGUAUUUCUUACGCGGGUGCAAAUCAAAUCAUUGAGUGGGCAGUUGGGGAAGGAAAGGAGAAGGACGAAGUGACACGCGUUUGGAGAAAUAAGUUUGACAUGAGCAUCUUCCUGAGCCAGAGGAGGAGGAGGAGGAAGCUGGACCGACUGGAUGAGGGUGAAGAUGGAGACGCCAUAUUGCCGAGCCGCAGCCACGAGCCGGGGAGAUAACAAAGGGCUGGAAGACGUGGCAGAAACGGGGCUACGCCGGUACCGGGGCGAGCAGAGCCCCCCCCCUCUUCCUGUGGCCUGAUGGGAAAUACAAACAUCCACUUGACCUGAUUUUUUUAUUUUUACUGCUGGACUCCCUGGAAAGAUGAGCCAAACAAAACGGCGUUGUGGACAACACGUUCUCGUUGGUGGGACCGUGAUCGGCUCAUGCGCUGGAGGGAUUUUAAGCAACACGAUUAACAGCAGGGAGAGAACCGAGAACUCUGCCCUGAAGCUUCUCUGGGGACCACGUCAGUCUUCGGGGCCCCCGGUUCCCUUUGAGGACCCCCUCCCCAGAAAACGUAGCUCAGAGUGAGCGCCGCUGUACAGUCUCCUAAAAUAGCUGCCGUUUCAAAAAUGCCUUUAAUGCAUUAAUUAUAACCAUCAACAAUUAACCCUUUGGGGAAAUAAGUGUGCAACAUCACGUGACCGGGUAGAACAUUAAAAAAAACAGACUGAUUUCCAUGAAGAAUUCCCUGCUACAUCAGCCAGAAGUGAAAGAACAAGACCAUACGCCAUUUAACCAUGGAGCUUAUUUGACAUUUAACAUGGAACUGGGCCUAUUCUUUCUUUUUCUGUUUCUCUGUCCACAUUUUGAAGCUGGCGAGUGGGAGGGAAGAUUCUCUUUGAUUUAUUUGUUGAUGUUGAUUUCAGGGUAGUGUCAGCAAUCCUUUUUUCCUGCAUCAUAAAAGGUGUUUUUUAUAACUAUUUGAAUAAAGUCUAGAUGUAUUGUGGAAUAGCGAAAGUUUGACUAAUAAAGAGCAAAUCAAU